RNAcentral lists this long non-coding RNA (593 nucleotides) under Homo sapiens (human). RNAcentral describes it as "non-protein coding lnc-IQGAP3-2:1". Lineage: Eukaryota; Metazoa; Chordata; Mammalia; Primates; Hominidae. The record is from RNAcentral.
GGAGGAGUUACCUUUGGAGCCCGAAAGGAGGAAGGAAGCAAAAUAUCAACAACAGCCGAGGCGGCUCAGGCGCUCGGCCCCGGUUCCCCGCUUGCCUGCCGCCCGCCUGCUGGCCCCCGCGCCCACGACGGGGGCCCAGGCCUCACGGCGCCGCCCAGGGCCCGCGCGGACGCCGGCCUCAUUUAUUAUUCUCCCCGCCCGGAGCUGCGGCUUCCCGGUGUUGAAGAUCCCCCGGACCAGGGGCGAGGGCUACCCGCUCUUUGCCGUGACAACACCGUUCCCCCAGCCGGGCUGGUUCGGGUCUUAGGGGGAUGGGGAAAGGGGCCCCCUCCCCCUAGUGAAUCACGCUGUCCUCUCAGCAGCCUUCCGAGGACUCCUCCUGAAAGGAAGGCACUCUAGAAGCCACCGACCGGGUUAUCCCAGGAGGCUGUGCAGAAGGUAUCCUGCAGACCAUGAACUGAGCACUGUUCCCAGACCGUUCAUGAGCACAGUGUAAGGUGUGCCGAGACCCACCACCCAGCGAGCCCCUCCCCUCCGUAGCACUGAGGACCCCCGGAGAAGAUGGGGAGGAAAAAGAUUCAGAUCCAGCGAAU